Small nuclear RNA from Meriones unguiculatus (Mongolian gerbil), 106 nucleotides. The record is from Ensembl. NCBI's taxonomy places the organism in Eukaryota, Metazoa, Chordata, Mammalia, Rodentia, Muridae.
GUGCUUGCUUCGGCAGCACAUAUACUAAAAUUGGAAUGAUACAGAGAAGAUUCCCAUGGCCCCUGUGCAAGGAUGACACGCAAAUCACGAAGCAUUCCAUAUUUUU